Lolium perenne is the source of this 1053-nucleotide long non-coding RNA. RefSeq lists it as uncharacterized. NCBI's taxonomy places the organism in Eukaryota, Viridiplantae, Streptophyta, Magnoliopsida, Poales, Poaceae. The record is from RefSeq and is a predicted model, not a curated record.
AAGAGGAAGGGGAAACCCUCGCCUGCAUCUCUGCAGCCGCCACCCCCUUUCUUGAUCUGCUCAUCAAAGAUCAGAUCCGCCACCGUGUGCCACCGCCUUCGUGCUCUAUCGAAUCUAUCUCGUGUACAUGUUAGACCUCCACUAUUAAGUCAAUCUAGCUAGGGCGGCCGGUGAAGGCGGCGCCACCGCUGCCGUCGCGGACAACGGCGAAGAGGUAGGGGUUGAUGCGGCCUGCGGGUGCUGCGGCAGGUGUGUGCGUGUGCGAUGGGUGGGGUAACUGGGUGUAUGGGGUUCCGUGUAUCCAUCUGAUCCAGAAGGCAGGCAGCAUCCUGCUCAACGCCAAUCCGCUCUUUCAGGAAAGAUAUUAUGUUGAGUAUACCUCUAUGACUGCGAAAGAUCAUUUUUAAGAACGAGAUGCAGAAAAUGUAGAGCUCAAUGAAGAUGGUUUACAAGGUCCACCAAAGAUCCAUAAUAUAUUAACAGGGAUGCCACAUGAAAACAAGAUCACUAAGGCAUAUUCACGGCUUUUACUCAGUUAUGACAUUGCGCCUAUUUGUUUAGCAUGAACUGAACUACGCUUCAACUGUUGGAAGGACACAAAAAAUGUAUGCUAAAGAACAUCAGGGUUGUGUACCAAGUUAGGAGAUUACUAAGCAGCAAUGUCCUGAAAAUAUUGGCAAAGAGAGCUAUGUCAAUUCAUCUUUAGGAUGUCGGUGCAUAACUGUCAUAGAUGCUUUGGGGGAUGUUAUUGCUUGCCCUAGGUUCUGUAUCAAAAAGAAGAAAUCGAGCUCAAACCAGACAAAUAAUAACCUGGUAAAAUCUGGAGCUAAAUAGGACUGAAAUGAAUGAAGAUGGAGAGGGCAAAGCAUUUGUUUCCGCCUCAAUAAAUCAAUGGAGAGAUAUUUGCUGUCAUUUUUGAGAGAUAAUUGUUAUAUAGGAUUUUUAUGAUUUUUCUGUUCAGGAUCUUUCCCGAUGUAUCUGUGAAUUAUUGAUAUGAAUAUUCUAUUCAGUUUUGAAUUUCUUUUAGUAUUAAUGAAUUUAUUACGGUUUGCU